This 195-nucleotide ribosomal RNA is filed under the name Boletus sp. 2 AF-2013. RNAcentral's name for it is "partial 28S ribosomal RNA". It matches the Rfam family "Eukaryotic large subunit ribosomal RNA", at positions 1 to 193 of the family's 3401-position model. The record is from RNAcentral. Lineage: Eukaryota; Fungi; Basidiomycota; Agaricomycetes; Boletales; Boletaceae.
UGACCUCAAAUCAGGUAGGACUACCCGCUGAACUUAAGCAUAUCAAUAAGCGGAGGAAAAGAAACUAACAAGGAUUCCCCUAGUAACUGCGAGUGAAGCGGGAAUAGCUCAAAUUUUGAAUCUGGCGGUCUUUGGCCGUCCGAGUUGUAAUCUAGAGAAGUGUCUUCCGCGCUGGACCGUGUACAAGUCUCCUGA